CCUGAUGACCAUAGCGUGUCGGUACCACCCCUUCCCAUCCCGAACAGGACCGUGAAACGACUCCACGCCGAUGAUAGUGCGGAUUGCCCGUGUGAAAGUAGGUAAUCGUCAGGC
Molecule: ribosomal RNA, 114 nt
Filed under: Paraburkholderia sartisoli
Lineage: Bacteria; Pseudomonadati; Pseudomonadota; Betaproteobacteria; Burkholderiales; Burkholderiaceae
Also listed under: 9 other names
Source: RNAcentral